CCUACGGGAGGCAGCAGUAGGGAAUAUUGCUCAAUGGGGGAAACUCUGAAGCAGCAACGCCGCGUGGAGGAUGAAGGUUCUCGGAUUGGAAACUCCUUUUGUGAGAGAAGAUAAUGACGGUAUCUAACGAAUAAGCACCGGCUAACUCCGUGCCAGCAGCCGCGGUAAUACGGAGGGGUCAAGCGUUACUCGGAAUCACUGGGUGUAAAGAGCGCGUAGGCGGGAUAGCAAGUCAGAUGUGAAAUCCUAUGGCUUAACCAUAGAACUGCAUUUGAAACUGUUAUUCUAGAGUAUGGGAGAGGUAGGUGGAAUUCUUGGUGUAGGGGUGAAAUCCGUAGAGAUCAAGAGGAAUACUCAUUGCGAAGGCGACCUGCUAGAACAUAACUGACGCUGAUGCGCGAAAGCGUGGGGAGCAAACAGGAUUAGAUACCCUAGUAGUC
RNAcentral lists this ribosomal RNA (440 nucleotides) under uncultured bacterium. RNAcentral's name for it is "partial 16S ribosomal RNA". It matches the Rfam family "Bacterial small subunit ribosomal RNA", at positions 338 to 795 of the family's 1533-position model. The record is from RNAcentral.